CGGGACGUGGCGCAGUUUGGUAGCGCGCAGCGUUCGGGACGCUGAGGUCGCGGGUUCAAAUCCCGCCGUCCCGA
RNAcentral lists this transfer RNA (74 nucleotides) under Pseudomonadota bacterium. RNAcentral describes it as "tRNA-Pro". It matches the Rfam family "tRNA". Rfam says of the family: Transfer RNA (tRNA) molecules are approximately 80 nucleotides in length. Their secondary structure includes four short double-helical elements and three loops (D, anti-codon, and T loops). Further hydrogen bonds mediate the characteristic L-shaped molecular structure. tRNAs have two regions of fundamental functional importance: the anti-codon, which is responsible for specific mRNA codon recognition, and the 3' end, to which the tRNAs corresponding amino acid is attached (by aminoacyl-tRNA synthetases). tRNAs cope with the degeneracy of the genetic code in two manners: having more than one tRNA (with a specific anti-codon) for a particular amino acid; and 'wobble' base-pairing, i.e. permitting non-standard base-pairing at the 3rd anti-codon position. The record is from RNAcentral. Lineage: Bacteria; Pseudomonadati; Pseudomonadota. RNAcentral also lists the same sequence under 3 other names.